UAGGUAGGAGGCAAGAGUUAUCCGGAAUUACUGGGCGUAAAGCGCAAGCAGAUGGCUAUGUAAGAUUGACGUGAAAGCUUCUGGCUUAACUGGAAGAGGUCGUUGAUGAUUGGAUGGCUUGAGACGUGGAGAGGGGUGCAGAAUUCCCGGUGUAGUGGUGGAAUGCGUAGAUAUCGGGAGGAAUACCAGUGGAGAAAGCGGCACCCGGGCCUUAGUCUGAUGCGCACGUGCGAAAGCGUGGGGAGCAAACGGG
Molecule: ribosomal RNA, 253 nt
Filed under: uncultured bacterium
Lineage: Bacteria
Description: partial 16S ribosomal RNA
Rfam family: Bacterial small subunit ribosomal RNA
Source: RNAcentral